This 472-nucleotide unclassified non-coding RNA is filed under the name Bombus terrestris (buff-tailed bumblebee). RNAcentral's name for it is "misc RNA ENSBTSG00005026853.1". The record is from RNAcentral. Lineage: Eukaryota; Metazoa; Arthropoda; Insecta; Hymenoptera; Apidae.
CCGCGCGUCCUAGUUUCGCCUACCAACGAAGCGACUGCGGGAAAAGAAAAAACAGAGAAGAAGAACAAAAAGGAAUCGCUUCCGACGCGGGGCUCAACUAACGAAUCGUCGAACGCAUCCCGACUCGUUCAAAACGAAACGCUCGAAAUGGCCCCGCGUAAUACCUAACCCCGAAAAUAAGAGGGAAUAAAAAUAUCUUAUUACACGAACGACCGAGUGCCGAACUUUCCUAGAUCCGAUUUCCUUCUUGCUUCGCGGUUGUAAAACGCAAGUUUUUACACGCGACUGAAGAAAACUUAAAAAGAACAGAAGAAAGAACGCCGCGUUCUAAAAGGUGCAUGAAAGUUGCGCGUUCGAUCGAAUACAUGGCCGCGUCACGAACUUUCAAAGCAGUUACUCGAGAAACAAUAAAUAGUCAAUGAUUUAUAGCGCGUAAUUCUGUCGGGUUUCUUCUAAAACUUUCUUCCACCUA